Molecule: ribosomal RNA, 1305 nt
Filed under: metagenome
Description: bacterial LSU rRNA
Rfam family: Bacterial large subunit ribosomal RNA
Source: RNAcentral
UUUUGGACACGACCGUACCGCAAACCGACACUGGUGCGCGAGAUGAGUAUUCUAAGGCGCUUGAGAGAACUCAGGAGAAGGAACUCGGCAAAUUGACACCGUAACUUCGGAAGAAGGUGUGCCUUUAGUAGGUGAACCUGUACAAGGGGAGCCCAAUGAGGUUGCAAAAAAUCGGUGGCUGCGACUGUUUAAUAAAAACACAGCACUCUGCAAACACGAAAGUGGACGUAUAGGGUGUGACGCCUGCCCGGUGCUGGAAGAUUAAAUGAUGGGGUGCAAGCUCUUGAUUGAAGUCCCAGUAAACGGCGGCCGUAACAAUAACGGUCCUAAGGUAGCGAAAUUCCUUGUCGGGUAAGUUCCGACCUGCACGAAUGGCGUAACGAUGGCCACACUGUCUCCUCCUGAGACUCAGCGAAGUUGAAAUGUUUGUGAUGAUGCAAUCUCCCCGCGGAAAGACGGAAAGACCCCAUGAACCUUUACUGUAGCUUUGUAUUGGACUUUGAACAGAUCUGUGUAGGAUAGGUGGGAGGCUUUGAAGUGUGGUCGCUAGAUCGCAUGGAGCCAACGUUGAAAUACCACCCUGGUGUGUUUGAGGUUCUAACCUAGGCCCGUAAUCCGGGUCGGGGACAGUGCAUGGUAGGCAGUUUGACUGGGGCGGUCUCCUCCCAAAGCGUAACGGAGGAGUUCGAAGGUACGCUAGGUACGGUCGGACAUCGUGCUAAUAGUGCAAUGGCAUAAGCGUGCUUAACUGCGAGACUGACAAGUCGAGCAGAUGCGAAAGCAGGACAUAGUGAUCCGGUGGUUCUGUAUGGAAGGGCCAUCGCUCAACGGAUAAAAGGUACUCUGGGGAUAACAGGCUGAUACCGCCCAAGAGUUCAUAUCGACGGCGGUGUUUGGCACCUCGAUGUCGGCUCAUCUCAUCCUGGGGCUGUAGCCGGUCCCAAGGGUAUGGCUGUUCGCCAUUUAAAGAGGUACGUGAGCUGGGUUUAAAACGUCGUGAGACAGUUUGGUCCCUAUCUUCCGUGGGCGCUGCAGAUUUGAGGAAGCCUGCUCCUAGUACGAGAGGACCGGAGUGGACACACCUCUGGUGUAUCGGUUGUCACGCCAGUGGCAUUGCCGAGUAGCUAUGUGUGGAAGAGAUAACCGCUGAAAGCAUCUAAGCGGGAAACUCGUUUCAAGAUGAGAUCUGCCGGGGCCUUGAGCCCCCUAAAGAGUCGUUCAAGACCAGGACGUUGAUAGGUCGGGUGUGGAAGCGCAGUAAUGCGUUAAGCUAACCGAUACUAAUUGCUCGUGCGGCUUGACCAG